AUCUUUUCAAUCAGUUAUUGAUCUUAUAUUGUCUUUUAGGUAGUUUAUAGUCUGUGUAUUAGUGUAUCAGUACCGUAUAUACUCGUAUUGAAUCAGUUGGCAUGGUAUUGGAUGAUGUCAGUACAGGGAGGAUCACGUGAUAGGUCACAUGACUUGAUAUCAACUGCCGUUCCUUGUGUGAACGGGUGCGAGUGUCCCUGGCACCCACUUCAAGUAUUAUCCUGGGGUGUUGUCCUAUUCUUGAGUCUAAUGCAUUAUGGGUUCAUUGUGUUCUAUUUCCCCUCAUACUGGAGGAUAAUGGGCUACACUGUAUCCUUUAUUAAUUAGGGGGUGGGGCUUAGCAAUGGGUGGAGCUUCACUAUUAAUAUUAUUA
Long non-coding RNA from Amphimedon queenslandica, 373 nucleotides. RefSeq lists it as uncharacterized. Lineage: Eukaryota; Metazoa; Porifera; Demospongiae; Haplosclerida; Niphatidae. The transcript has 3 exons. The record is from RefSeq and is a predicted model, not a curated record.